GAAAAGAUUGUUAUAAUUCUGCUAAGCUUAUUAAGAAAGUUUCAAUGGAUCAACAACAGUGUAGAGUGGUUAGUAAUAGAAGUCUUUAUCUAUCUAAAAUUCAUUGGCUCAUUACCUAUCAUUGUGAGUGAGUCAAUGCAAAAUCCUCCACAUCAACUCAAUAAAAUAAAAUAAAAAAUUUUGCAUUAGUAAUUUUAACAAAUACAAUAUGGUGCCAUCAAUUAAUAUGUUGACAUAAAAUUAAAAAU
RNAcentral lists this long non-coding RNA (248 nucleotides) under Lathyrus oleraceus (garden pea). RNAcentral describes it as "Pisum sativum (pea) long non-coding RNA (PSAT_LNC001470)". The record is from RNAcentral. Lineage: Eukaryota; Viridiplantae; Streptophyta; Magnoliopsida; Fabales; Fabaceae.